GCGGCUUUGGUUAAGUGGUAUAAUGAGUCCUUGCCAAGGAUUAGUCGGGAGUUCGAUUCUCCCAAGCCGCA
This 71-nucleotide transfer RNA is filed under the name Candidatus Kaiserbacteria bacterium. RNAcentral describes it as "tRNA-Gly". It matches the Rfam family "tRNA". Rfam says of the family: Transfer RNA (tRNA) molecules are approximately 80 nucleotides in length. The record is from RNAcentral. RNAcentral also lists the same sequence under 1 other name. Lineage: Bacteria; Candidatus Kaiseribacteriota.